This 301-nucleotide ribosomal RNA is filed under the name uncultured bacterium. Its description in RNAcentral is "partial 16S ribosomal RNA". It matches the Rfam family "Bacterial small subunit ribosomal RNA", at positions 509 to 807 of the family's 1533-position model. The record is from RNAcentral.
CAGUCGCCGCGGUAAUACGGAGGGUGCAAGCGUUAAUCGGAAUUACUGGGCGUAAAGCGCACGCAGGCGGUCUGUCAAGUCAGAUGUGAAAUCCCCGGGCUUAACCUGGGAACUGCAUUUGAAACUGGCGGGCUAGAGUCUUGUAGAGGGGGGUAGAAUUCCAGGUGUAGCGGUGAAAUGCGUAGAGAUCUGGAGGAAUACCGGUGACGAAGGCGGCCCCCUGGACAAAGACUGACGCUCAGGUGCGAAAGCGUGGGGAGCAAACAGGAUUAGAUACCCCAGUAGUCCCUGUCUCUUAUAC